AGGAAUGAGCUGCUGACAGAAUAAAGUGAACCCUCUGGAGAGCUGGGAGCUGUUGUUUCUGAAAGCAUCUUCAAGUAACAAGCAUCCUUUACCUUCAUCUGAGGUUUCUGACUUAUAACUGAACUCAUGAGGCAACAUACCUCUAGAGAGCGGCCCAGACCUUUAUAUAUCUUUCUGUAUGUGGCCCUCGGGGAAAAGAGUUUGGACCCCCCUGUUCUAGACCAAUGACUGGUUACUUCCUGUCAUGCAGCUGAGAGCUGUGGCAGGCAGUCGUAGUGUUUGCAGAGAAGAUCUGAUGGGAUGUAAAGCAUGAGAUCAGGACUCUGAAGCUGACUCAAAGAACUAACACUUAUUUUAAACUGGAUCUAAAGCUGUUGGAUUGUGUUCAUCUCUACAGGAUCGGAGGAUGGGGUGAUAAGCCGAUCAGAGCCACGAUCCAGAAGACCUGUGACAGGAAGUGAAGACACACAGAAAGUUUAUUCAUCACGGGGCGAGUUUGAGACGUCCAGAGGAGCGUGGAGGCAUUUUGGAAAAUACAGAAGAAGACUGCAGCUGAUGAGAGACUUCCUGUUAGCUCUCCUCAAUAUGAAAUGAACAAAAACAAUCCAUUGUACUUAAAGCUUUUCUUAAAGAUGUGUUGCACAUACACCUACUGCUACCUACCACCACCUCCCACCCAUCCCGGCACCAAAGAAGAGACCCCAUCGACCCUGACUCAAUGGAAAAGUACUGGAGCCCCAAAAUGUGUUCAGGCCAUACCAUAGGAGAAUAUGUCUGGAUGUCCAGUCCUGCACACCAGAGGUCAUGACCUUUCCCUACAGGGUAUAAAGGAGGUGUCUUUGGGUUUUCUUUGUGUUCCUAUGUGCAGCAUAAAAGCACUGGCUGAGAGGGAGAACGCUCCAGAGCGGGGUCUCUCCUUGGUAGGUUCUCUCAACUUGGUAAGAUCUCUCAGAUUGAUUUGGUGAAUUGUUGAAUGAAAGUUUGAAUGUGUUAGAUACCACUGACCAUUUAUGAGGAGAUUCCUCUGGAUUCUGUCGGGUUAGACUUUUAAUGUUUCAACUGAAGAGGGCAGUUGAAGUUAGAAUUUAGUGUAAGAAAUGUAAAACUGAAUUGAGCUUUUGUAUUAGAAAAGUACCACAGCAUGAUAUGUUUUGUAUGAUUGUCAUAUUGUAACGAGAGAAGGUAAAAACCUGUUUAAGUGUGGACCAUUUUCUUCAAAUAAAAUCAUCCCACCUUUUUGGAUUGGGAGAACUUAAAAUAAA
Molecule: long non-coding RNA, 1262 nt
Organism: Trematomus bernacchii (emerald rockcod)
Lineage: Eukaryota; Metazoa; Chordata; Actinopteri; Perciformes; Nototheniidae
Exons: 3
Source: RefSeq, a predicted model, not a curated record